RNAcentral lists this ribosomal RNA (465 nucleotides) under uncultured bacterium. RNAcentral describes it as "partial 16S ribosomal RNA". It matches the Rfam family "Bacterial small subunit ribosomal RNA", at positions 338 to 795 of the family's 1533-position model. The record is from RNAcentral.
CCUACGGGCGGCAGCAGUGGGGAAUAUUGCGCAAUGGGCGAAAGCCUGACGCAGCGACGCCGCGUGAGGGAUGAAGGUCUUCGGAUUGUAAACCUCUGUCAGCAGGGAAGAACGGUCACUGUGCUAAUCAGCAGUGAAUUGACGGUACCUGCAAAGGAAGCACCGGCUAACUCCGUGCCAGCAGCCGCGGUAAUACGGAGGGGGCGUGCGGUAAUCGGAAUUACUGGGCGUAAAGCGCUCGUUGGCGGUAUGUCAAGUCAAGGGGGAAAUCCCCGCGCUCAACGUGGGAACUGCCUUUGAAACUGGCAAACUGGAGUGUGUGAGAGGAUAGUGGAAUUCCAGGUGUAGGAGUGAAAUCCGUAGAUAUCUGGAGGAACAUCAGUGGCGAAGGCGACUAUCUGGCACAUAACUGACGCUGAGGAGCGAAAGCGUGGGUAGCAAACAGGAUUAGAUACCCCUGUAGUC